This 713-nucleotide ribosomal RNA is filed under the name uncultured bacterium. Its description in RNAcentral is "bacterial SSU rRNA". It matches the Rfam family "Bacterial small subunit ribosomal RNA", at positions 129 to 865 of the family's 1533-position model. The record is from RNAcentral.
CCCCAAAGAGGGGAAUAACUUUUCGAAAGGGAAGCUAAUCCCCCGAGUGAUCGGCCAUUCGUUUGGUCGAUAAAGCUCUGGCGCGUGGGAGGGGCCUGCGGCCCAUCAGCUAGUUGGUAGGGUAAUGGCCUACCAAGGCGAAGACGGGUAGGUGGUCUGAGAGGAUGAUCAACCACAAUGUCCCUGACACACGGGCCAUACUCCUACGGGAGGCAGCAGUGAGGAAUAUUGGACAAUCACCGAAACCAGGAUCCAGCAUCGCCGCGUGGACGACGAAGGCCUUCGGGUUGUAAAGUCCUUUUCAGAGGGAAGAUGAAGGACGGUACCUCUGGAAUAAGUCUCGGCUAACUACGUGCCAGCAGCCGCGGUAACACGUAGGAGGCAAGCGUUAUCCGGAUUUAUUGGGCGUAAAGCGCACGCAGGCGGCUAGGUAAGUCGGGUGUGAAAGCCCUGGACUCAAUCCGGGGAGGUCAUUCGAUACUACUUGUCUUGAGAACUGGAGAGGGAAGUGGAAUUCUCGGUGUAGUGGUGAUAAGAGUAGAUAUCGAGAGGAACACCAGUGGGGAAGGCGGCUUCCUGGCCCGUUUCUGACGCUAAGGUGCGAAAGCGUGGGGAGCAAACGGACUUAGAUACUCCGGUAGUCCUCGCCGUAAACGAUGGGUACUAGGAGUGGGGGAUGCAAAAUUCCCCGUGCCACAGCUAACGCAAUAAGU